UACGGAAGGCAGCAGUGGGGAAUAUUGCACAAUGGGCGCAAGCCUGAUGCAGCCAUGCCGCGUGUAUGAAAAGGCCUUCGGGUUGUAAAGUACUUUCAGUCGUGAGGAAGGUGUUAAGGUUAAUAACCUUAGCAAUUGACGUUAGCGACAGAAGAAGCACCGGCUAACUCCGUGCCAGCAGCCGCGGUAAUACGGAGGGUGCGAGCGUUAAUCGGAAUUACUGGGCGUAAAGGGCACGCAGGCGGUUAAUUAAGUUGGAUGUGAAAUCCCCGGGCUUAACCUGGGAAUGGCAUUCAAGACUGGUUAGCUAGAGUCUUGUAGAGGGGGUAGAAUUCCAUGUGUAGCGGUGAAAUGCGUAGAGAUGUGGAGGAAUACCGGUGGCGAAGGCGGCCCCUGGACAAAGGCUGACGCUCAUGUGCGAAAGCGUGGGGAGCAAACAGGGAUUAGAUACC
RNAcentral lists this ribosomal RNA (452 nucleotides) under uncultured bacterium. Its description in RNAcentral is "bacterial SSU rRNA". It matches the Rfam family "Bacterial small subunit ribosomal RNA", at positions 340 to 786 of the family's 1533-position model. The record is from RNAcentral.